GUACGGGAGGCAGCAGUAGGGAAUAUUGGACAAUGGGUGCGAGCCUGAUCCAGCCAUGCCGCGUGCAGGAAGACGGCCUUCUGGGUUGUAAACUGCUUUUGCCAGGGGAUAAAACGUCCAUGCGUGGAUAAUUGAAGGUACCUGGUGAAUAAGCCACGGCUAACUACGUGCCAGCAGCCGCGGUAAUACGUAGGUGGCAAGCGUUGUCCGGAUUUAUUGGGUUUAAAGGGUGCGUAGGUGGUUCCAUAAGUCAGUGGUGAAAUACGGCAGCUUAACUGUCGAGGUGCCAUUGAUACUGCGGAACUUGAGUACAGACGAGGUAGGCGGAAUUGACGGUGUAGCGGUGAAAUGCUUAGAUAUCGUCAAGAACACCGAUAGCGAAGGCAGCUUACUAGACUGUAACUGACACUGAGGCACGAAAGUGUGGGGAUCAAACAGGAUUAGAUACCCCGGUAGU
RNAcentral lists this ribosomal RNA (457 nucleotides) under uncultured bacterium. Its description in RNAcentral is "bacterial SSU rRNA". It matches the Rfam family "Bacterial small subunit ribosomal RNA", at positions 339 to 794 of the family's 1533-position model. The record is from RNAcentral.